This 260-nucleotide ribosomal RNA is filed under the name uncultured Acidovorax sp. RNAcentral's name for it is "partial 16S ribosomal RNA". It matches the Rfam family "Bacterial small subunit ribosomal RNA", at positions 1121 to 1382 of the family's 1533-position model. Lineage: Bacteria; Pseudomonadati; Pseudomonadota; Betaproteobacteria; Burkholderiales; Comamonadaceae. The record is from RNAcentral.
ACAUUCAGUUGGGCACUCUAAUGAGACUGCCGGUGACAAACCGGAGGAAGGUGGGAUGACGUCAAGUCCUCAUGGCCCUUAUAGGUGGGGCUACACACGUCAUACAAUGGAUGGUACAAAGGGUCGCCAACCCGCGAGGGGGAGCCAAUCCCAUAAAGCCAUUCGUAGUCCGGAUCGCAGUCUGCAACUCGACUGCGUGAAGUCGGAAUCGCUAGUAAUCGUGGAUCAGAAUGUCACGGUGAAUACCGUUCCCGGGUCUU